AAAUUGAAGAGUUUGAUCAUGGCUCAGAUUGAACGCUGGCGGCAGGCCUAACACAUGCAAGUCGAACGGUAACAGGAAGCAGCUUGCUGCUUUGCUGACGAGUGGCGGACGGGUGAGUAAUGUCUGGGAAACUGCCUGAUGGAGGGGGAUAACUACUGGAAACGGUAGCUAAUACCGCAUAAUGUCGCAAGACCAAAGAGGGGGACCUUCGGGCCUCUUGCCAUCGGAUGUGCCCAGAUGGGAUUAGCUGGUAGGUGGGGUAAAGGCUCACCUAGGCGACGAUCCCUAGCUGGUCUGAGAGGAUGACCAGCCACACUGGAACUGAGACACGGUCCAGACUCCUACGGGAGGCAGCAGUGGGGAAUAUUGCACAAUGGGCGCAAGCCUGAUGCAGCCAUGCCGCGUGUAUGAAGAAGGCCUUCGGGUUGUAAAGUACUUUCAGCGGGGAGGAAGGGAGUAAAGUUAAUACCUUUGCUCAUUGACGUUACCCGCAGAAGAAGCACCGGCUAACUCCGUGCCAGCAGCCGCGGUAAUACGGAGGGUGCAAGCGUUAAUCGGAAUUACUGGGCGUAAAGCGCACGCAGGCGGUUUGUUAAGUCAGAUGUGAAAUCCCCGGGCUCAACCUGGGAACUGCAUCUGAUACUGGCAAGCUUGAGUCUCGUAGAGGGGGGUAGAAUUCCAGGUGUAGCGGUGAAAUGCGUAGAGAUCUGGAGGAAUACCGGUGGCGAAGGCGGCCCCCUGGACGAAGACUGACGCUCAGGUGCGAAAGCGUGGGGAGCAAACAGGAUUAGAUACCCUGGUAGUCCACGCCGUAAACGAUGUCGACUUGGAGGUUGUGCCCUUGAGGCGUGGCUUCCGGAGCUAACGCGUUAAGUCGACCGCCUGGGGAGUACGGCCGCAAGGUUAAAACUCAAAUGAAUUGACGGGGGCCCGCACAAGCGGUGGAGCAUGUGGUUUAAUUCGAUGCAACGCGAAGAACCUUACCUGGUCUUGACAUCCACGGAAGUUUUCAGAGAUGAGAAUGUGCCUUCGGGAACCGUGAGACAGGUGCUGCAUGGCUGUCGUCAGCUCGUGUUGUGAAAUGUUGGGUUAAGUCCCGCAACGAGCGCAACCCUUAUCCUUUGUUGCCAGCGGUCCGGCCGGGAACUCAAAGGAGACUGCCAGUGAUAAACUGGAGGAAGGUGGGGAUGACGUCAAGUCAUCAUGGCCCUUACGACCAGGGCUACACACGUGCUACAAUGGCGCAUACAAAGAGAAGCGACCUCGCGAGAGCAAGCGGACCUCAUAAAGUGCGUCGUAGUCCGGAUUGGAGUCUGCAACUCGACUCCAUGAAGUCGGAAUCGCUAGUAAUCGUGGAUCAGAAUGCCACGGUGAAUACGUUCCCGGGCCUUGUACACACCGCCCGUCACACCAUGGGAGUGGGUUGCAAAAGAAGUAGGUAGCUUAACCUUCGGGAGGGCGCUUACCACUUUGUGAUUCAUGACUGGGGUGAAGUCGUAACAAGGUAACCGUAGGGGAACCUGCGGUUGGAUCACCUCCUUACCUUAAAGAAGC
This 1554-nucleotide ribosomal RNA is filed under the name Escherichia coli. RNAcentral describes it as "bacterial SSU rRNA". It matches the Rfam family "Bacterial small subunit ribosomal RNA". Lineage: Bacteria; Pseudomonadati; Pseudomonadota; Gammaproteobacteria; Enterobacterales; Enterobacteriaceae. The record is from RNAcentral.